GGACUUGAACAUUUACUCAAAUGAUCAGUUUUCGAUACUUUUUUCGUCAUGCUUAAAGAUAGUGACUUGAUAAUUGAUAUAUAAUUUUGUCAUGACAAGUUACAGACAACAUUCAAAUUUUAUUUAGGUCUGAAUAUUUUGUGCAGAGUUAAGCAGAGUUAUGGUCCUUGGACUACACCAAGUUAUGGGUCAAGUUAGCAUUUUUUUCAGUACAAAUGCCUCAGGUAGGAAAUUUCAUAAACAAAAGCUUGUCUCUAUAUCAAAUUGUUUUUACUUCGAAUGCCUUGUAAAAAGCAAGUUCUGUCCACCCUCUGACAUAGACC
This 323-nucleotide long non-coding RNA is filed under the name Mytilus galloprovincialis (Mediterranean mussel). The record is from RNAcentral. Lineage: Eukaryota; Metazoa; Mollusca; Bivalvia; Mytilida; Mytilidae.